Molecule: ribosomal RNA, 253 nt
Filed under: uncultured bacterium
Lineage: Bacteria
Description: partial 16S ribosomal RNA
Rfam family: Bacterial small subunit ribosomal RNA
Source: RNAcentral
UACGGGGGGGGCAAGCGUUGUUCGGAAUUACUGGGCGUAAAGGGCUCGUAGGCGGCCAACUAAGUCAGACGUGAAAUCCCUCGGCUUAACCGGGGAACUGCAUCUGAUACUGGAUGGCUUGAGUUCGGGAGAGGGAUGCGGAAUUCCAGGUGUAGCGGUGAAAUGCGUAGAUAUCGAGAGGAACACCUGCGGCGAAGGCGGGUUGCUGGGCUGACACUGACGCUGAAGCGCGAAAGCUAGGGGAGCGAACGGG